GAUGAACGCUGGCGGCGUGCCUAAUACAUGCAAGUCGAGCGAACGGACGAGAAGCUUGCUUCUCUGAUGUUAGCGGCGGACGGGUGAGUAACACGUGGAUAACCUACCUAUAAGACUGGGAUAACUUCGGGAAACCGUAGCUAAUACCGGAUAAUAUUUUGAACCGCAUGGUUCAAAAGUGAAAGACGGUCUUGCUGUCACUUAUAGAUGGAUCCGCGCUGCAUUAGCUAGUUGGUAAGGUAACGGCUUACCAAGGCAACGAUGCAUAGCCGACCUGAGAGGGUGAUCGGCCACACUGGAACUGAGACACGGUCCAGACUCCUACGGGAGGCAGCAGUAGGGAAUCUUCCGCAAUGGGCGAAAGCCUGACGGAGCAACGACGCGUGAGUGAUGAAGGUCUUCGGAUCGUAAAACUCUGUUAUUAGGGAAGAGCAUAUGUGUAAGUAACUGUGCACAUCUUGACGGUACCUAAUCAGAAAGCCACGGCUAACUACGUG
RNAcentral lists this ribosomal RNA (497 nucleotides) under uncultured bacterium. RNAcentral's name for it is "partial 16S ribosomal RNA". It matches the Rfam family "Bacterial small subunit ribosomal RNA", at positions 28 to 507 of the family's 1533-position model. The record is from RNAcentral.